GUUGGGUGUCUGAAAGCAUCAUUCCUUUUUGAUUUGAUGGUCUUAUAAAAUAUUUUGGAAAGUUAAGGUUACAUAGUUACCAAAGCAGGUAACCAGUAAAUAACAGUGUAAAACUUGGGUUGUUUACUUCCGGUGAUGGUUACAUUCUUAUAUGCAAUGAAAUGUAGUGUAAAAUUUUCACUGUAGCACUGGAAAGGAUUAAACAUUAU
Molecule: long non-coding RNA, 209 nt
Filed under: Mytilus galloprovincialis (Mediterranean mussel)
Lineage: Eukaryota; Metazoa; Mollusca; Bivalvia; Mytilida; Mytilidae
Source: RNAcentral